RNAcentral lists this ribosomal RNA (467 nucleotides) under uncultured bacterium. RNAcentral's name for it is "partial 16S ribosomal RNA". It matches the Rfam family "Bacterial small subunit ribosomal RNA", at positions 28 to 506 of the family's 1533-position model. The record is from RNAcentral.
GACGAACGCUGGCGGCGUGCUUAACACAUGCAAGUCGAACGGAAAGGCCCUGCUUUUGUGGGGUGCUCGAGUGGCGAACGGGUGAGUAACACGUGAGUAACCUGCCCUUGACUUUGGGAUAACUUCAGGAAACUGGGGCUAAUACCGGAUAGGAGCUCCUGCUGCAUGGUGGGGGUUGGAAAGUUUCGGCGGUUGGGGAUGGACUCGCGGCUUAUCAGCUUGUUGGUGGGGUAGUGGCUUACCAAGGCUUUGACGGGUAGCCGGCCUGAGAGGGUGACCGGCCACAUUGGGACUGAGAUACGGCCCAGACUCCUACGGGAGGCAGCAGUGGGGAAUAUUGCACAAUGGGCGGAAGCCUGAUGCAGCAACGCCGCGUGCGGGAUGACGGCCUUCGGGUUGUAAACCGCUUUCGCCUGUGACGAAGCGUGAGUGACGGGAAUGGGUAAAGAAGCACCGGCUAACUACGU